AAUAGGUAGAUUUGGCUUCACUCUUUGCGUAACUCUAUAUAUAAUAGACUCUGGUCGCCAGAAUAACGCUCGCAUAACAUUUAAGAAAAAGAAAAACGCUCACAUAAACGUCAAAAACAAAAAAAAAAGUUUGUUAAUUUUUGUUGGAUACCGGAAAGUUAAUAAUUUUAAUCUGUACCAAAAUAAUUUUGCUUAGCAGCAGCAGUAUUGAACGUACAGGUACCGAUGAUGGGAAAAGUUUCGCGAAUCCAGGAGAAGCCGAUGGCAGGAACACAAGCAUCCGGGAUCUCAACAGUAGCAGCUAACUUGAUCGACCUCCUUGUCAUGAUGACAACGAGAUGGUCAUGGGACAAGGUGCUAUGCUGUGUAAACAACGAGAUCGCUACGCUGGACGAUACUAUUUUUGCAAGAUUUUCGCGAUACCAACACGGACACCACGAUAGUAACAAAAUUACUGUUAUAAUUAAACUUUAACAACAGCUCCGGCACAACGGCGACCGGAACGUCGUUACCAAUUGUACAAGCCUUCCCGUACAACCCACCAGAACACAUAUCUAUCACUAUCGCAGUCAACGAGAGUCCAAUACAGAAAACUUAAAACUUUUUUUGGUGAAACAACCUGAAAAGCUAUCAGGUGGGCGGCGACUGCUGUUAAUUAUAAGUGAAUGCAUGGUGUUCUAUUAGAAUUGAUCUAAUUCACGCAUGUGAGUACAUUACCUGUUUAUUGUUACUAUGUUGCUAUUUGUGCAUGUCAUAUAUGUUUUCCAGUAUCUUAUUGUACCUAUGUGUUUUCUUCAUAAUUUCAAAUCAAUGGACUUUCGUUUAAAUAGGUGAAGAUCGGAAAUCAAAAGGAAAAUAUUAAAUAAUCGGUGUUGAAGAUGUAGUAUACGAUUCGUAAAGGUUUUUUUUUUUCAAAUUUUGCUUCUAAGAAACUAAAAAUAUAGGAAUAAAGUGACUGAGAUUGUUAUAAAAUAAAAAGAAUGCAUUGGAAUAAACACGUGACAUGCAUAAAUAGCAACAUGUAUGUUUGAGUCAUUCUCAAAAAAGAAUUUAAAAGAAAUUUAAAUUUAAAUCACACCUA
Long non-coding RNA from Armigeres subalbatus, 1081 nucleotides. RefSeq lists it as uncharacterized. Lineage: Eukaryota; Metazoa; Arthropoda; Insecta; Diptera; Culicidae. The transcript is spliced from 3 exons. The record is from RefSeq and is a predicted model, not a curated record.